Erythranthe guttata (spotted monkey flower) is the source of this 1767-nucleotide non-coding RNA. Lineage: Eukaryota; Viridiplantae; Streptophyta; Magnoliopsida; Lamiales; Phrymaceae. The record is from RefSeq and is a predicted model, not a curated record.
UGUACCUUGUGCGGAUCGUAUCAUUCUCCCCCUCUUUAAAAGGAUUCGUCCUCGAAUUCGGACAAAUAUCACAAGGAGUAUAAACAAGAUCGAUCUCUCUGUUUGGUACCGAACUUACACAUCUCUGCACCACAUCGCCAAACACACUAUCUAGCAUCCAUUGAAGUGGAUAUGAACGCGAGUAUUUUGUAGCUUGAAGUUCCAAUGCGUUCAACCUCUGUGUAGAGAAUGAUUGAAGCAUCUCUCUAGGCACCGCCAUCUCAUCAACAUUCACACUGAGAGUUUGCACUUUGCUUAGCUCGGCAUUAACUUCGAUGCAUGGCUGACUCAUAUCAAUUUGUGUAGAUAACGUGGGUUAUUUACACAAUUGGUGUAAGAGUGGAAAUGAAUAAAAGAAAUGGUGUGGUUUUUCCGUAAUUUACAAAAUUGGUGUAAAUUUUCUAUGCAAGAGGCGCUUUCUGGCCAAAACUGACACAUCAGGAAUUGUGCAAAAAUAAAGCAGCUUAUUUUCUUUUUUGUUUGGUAGUAAUCAACGGCUGCGAUGUGGAGGAGGAAAAGGAAUGGUCGAGAUCGGUGCUAAGAAGUCACGGGGCCUAGAUUGUACUCUGCAGAGGCGAUUUAUGCAAAAGCAGAAAACACCUCUGGCAGAGGCGAUUUGUACAUGUAGGUAGUAACGAGCUGUUGCCUUUAUUUCACCAGGUGAGAUGGAGGUUGGCUUAAUAAGUCGCAUUCUUCUCCAUUUCUCCACACUCCUUCCAAACAGAAGGUAAAAGUAAAUAUACGAAGAUUGCAAUUGAACGGGAGGAUAGAGUAGUGUCCGAAAAGUCGUGGGAUUGUUCAAGAUCAAUCAUAUAUUAAUUUCACGUAUUUUAUAAUGCUUUUUAAAAACUAAUUUCGUGUUAUUCAUUGUGUAAAAUGUGAUACUAAUAUAAUUAUUAUGAUAAUAUAAUUAUGUUGUUUGGUUUUUAGAUUUGUAUAUAGUUAAAAGAAUUUUAAUAACAUUGUUUGAUAAUAAUUUUUUUAAUUAUUUAUAUUUUCUUUACCAAAACAAAUAGCUGAAUUUAAUGGCACCUAAUAAGUAAUCGUGUAUAUUGAGGGUAAUAUAUUCAAGAUGAUUGGUCGGUGGAAUACGCUUACAAAGCAGUUUUUCGAAUUAAAAGGAAUAUUUCUUUCCAACUAAUAUUAUCGAAUUUGUAUGAACGAUUCGAAAUAGAAAAUACUAGGUUCAUUUUAUAAGUUCGGGAAAAACAUUUUCGCUUAUAUGGGGAUAGGGUUAAAUCAAUGCUUUGUGAAAUUAGUAUGGAUCAAGAUUUAGAAAUGUUUCUUGAUCGGGAAGAAGGGAAUGAUUCAAUGGACAUUUUUGUUCAAAUCGUACCAUUAUACAAUAAUGCACCGCCUCCACAAUUAACUUUCGAUCUGAAUGAGUCAUACAACACAGUCUCACACUUGAGUCCGGAAGUGGUUGCUGCCACACAAGAAUUUUCUAGCAUGGAAUUUACGAAUUUUGGUGCUGGAACUUCUACACCUGCGAUAAAUUUUGGUGGUGGAAAUUUUGGGGACACGAGCACAAUGAGAGAAGUCCCACACCUCAAUACAUAUGAGCUAACAGGAGAUUUUACAGACAUGUCGGGAUAUUUCGUUGGGGCCGAUCCUCCUGUUGACUCAAAACCAUCCGAUCAAGAAGAUGACGACAACGUCGACUAGGACCAUAAUCAUGAUGAUGACGAGAAUGUUGCCAAUGUUCCUCCUAAUAUGCCAUUAGUGGCA